GGUAGAGCUUGCCUGGCACGGGGGAGGCACUGGGUUGCAUUCUAAGCACUGCAUACAAAUAAAUAAUAAAAUAGAAGCCCCUCAACAACUAAAAAAUACAUAUUUAAAAAAAAUGUAAAACAGAAAGGUUUAAAUUCAGCUUCACAGUAUGCUUUUUUCCCUCGUAUUACUGGCACUGAACCUAGGUAGGGGUGCUUUACCACUGAGCCACAUUCCCAGUCCUUUUUCUACUUUUUAUUUUGAGGCAGGGUCUCACUAAGUUGCUCAGGAUGCCCUCAAACUGUGAUCCUCCUGCCUCAGCCUCUGGAGUCGCUGGGAUGACAGGCCUGCACCUUGAAGGCAUGGCCCGCUAAUGACAUGCACUAUUUAACAGAAAACAUGCAAAGCAUUGUUAUUUAAACGUGUGACUGAUACAUAGAAACAGUUAACAAGAACGGUUAUUUUCUUCCUUUCAGAUCAAGGGUCUGAAAUCCACUGUGGGCUCAGGGGUACGGCCACUGGGUCCUGGAGGACAGCUCAGGGUUCCCUUCUGCGGGUUCACUUCCUGGGCGCUCUUGGCCAGCCCUUCCUCUCUCGGCCACGGUGACGCCGCACCUCCAUCUCGGUGUCUGACCACUGUCCCAGUCCAAAGCCCAGGUGUGGAAGUAUCUCAGUCCCUGUGCCUCUCGGGCUUCUGGGCGUGAUCUGGGGCAGUGUUUUCAUCUUACGUUUUGAGAUGGCGUCUGGCUGUGUUACCCAGGAUGGCCUUAACCUCCUUAGCUCAAGCCCUCCUCCCGCUCAGCCCCCUACUAGGUGGGACUGCAGACACGGGCACCACACCUGGCUUGGGCACUGCUUGCUGUCACACGGACAGCCUGUGUUUCAGGGUCCCAAGACCACCCUAGACAUGAUUUGCUGGGAGGACCCCUAUUGCAUAGGCAGUCAAGAAUCAAGAUCCCCUCUGGUCAGGGAGGGUGGGCAGUCCUGGCAGCCCAAGUCCCCGAUCCUGCUGCCAACCUUCUGAAGAUGUGGCCGCAGGCCUGCAUUAUGG
Molecule: long non-coding RNA, 1030 nt
Filed under: Marmota monax (woodchuck)
Lineage: Eukaryota; Metazoa; Chordata; Mammalia; Rodentia; Sciuridae
Source: RNAcentral